ACCGUCCGAGGAUUAACCGGAAAAUCGAGAACCAUGAAAUUACAGUAUUACCCCCACGCCCGACGCUUCCCGGGCACGGCGGCGCUCUCGCCUUCGGUAAGUAGUUUGCUUUCUCGUUGCUCGUUCGAAUCUCCACGAGCACGCCCGGACCGUACGGAUUUCCAGAUUCUCCGGCCGCCGUAGUCAGCCCGACGGCGACAUGCUGGACGACGUCCGUCGCCGACGCGUCUCAUGUCGCCGGAAGAAGGACGCGCGUAUUUGCAGGAUGGCGGCAUGUGCAAGUGGUAGUCCAACUCUAAUUAUUAAUGAUAAGCUAGAGAUGAAGGCAUGAUACUCAACCAAUGAUUGAGAAAAGGAGAUGCCCAUGCUCCUGGUUUAUCUAGCAAAUGGGCAUAGCCAUGCCAAAACUCUAUGGAUAAGAGCCAUUUAGCAUGCUUCAGACGCUCCACCUUCAUACUACUUUUAAUCUCAUGCCAUGUUUUGACUCGACCAGUGAAAUUGCUCACUGACAAGGGGACCUUUGCGGUAGCUCCGUGCCCUAGCAAUGUGUGAUGAACAGGAUACAUUCCCUAACAUAUCAGCAUUGGCUCAACAAUGGAGAUGAACUUCAUCUUGAUAUCUCCACAGAUUCUCCUUCUGCAGUAGGGCUGUAUGAGUUAUUUGGCUCGCAUGUCCUCUGUGGAAGCUCAGGUUCUGCAUUACAUUUCCUCCUGCAUUUUGAAUGUUGACAUUCUAUAAUCUAUUGGUGCUUAAACAUGGAAAUUAUUAAAGUCACGUAUUAAGCUAUUACUGUAUGUACACUCAUGUAAAGCCAAAGUCAUCUUAAAACAAUGCUAUGUACAUGUGAAUUGAAAAGCUACAAACCAUAGAAAUUCAAAAUGGAAUGAAAUGAAUUUAUAGAUGUCGAUGCUGGAGAGGACAUCAAAUUGACUGUUCUAUGGUUACAUGCAUGAUACAAGGACAUGUAAGACUUCUUUUAAGUUGGUUAAUGCUAGCAUGUGUUAGAACGAAUGAUGAUAUAGUGUGAAAGCCUGACAAGCAGAACUCGAAGUAUUGCAGAUGUUGAGAUUCGAAGAAAAUCGUGUGAGAGUUGGAGGAGAGAUCACGGUCAAUGAGAUGACAUUUCAAGUACUUGUAUGCUCUAAUAAAUGAUCAAGCCAAGCCAAGGAGACGCCCUGUCUAGUUCCUUUAUUAGAGGCCUAGAACAGCCAGAAAUUUCUAAUUGUGGCUAUGUGAGGGAUCCAAAGGAAAUCCUGAUAGUGAUAAAAGGCAUAUGUUUCUAUUCAAAGGAUGGCAAAGGCUAUUGGGUUUUCUCUGAAAAUUUUCUUAGAUAUUACAGGGACCAGAGAGAGAUCUUGAUGGUGAAAACCACAGUGCUUCAAUUUUUGGGACUGAUAAUGGUGGUAGAGGCUGUACUGACAUCAUUGGAUAUUUUGCAGGGCCAGCAAGGAACAUAAAUAUGAAGUUUACUGGCAACGUUUUGGAGAGUGUGAAUAUCAGUCCAGUUUGAUAUCUUGGUUCCCUUCUUUGUUUUCCUUUCAAUCACAGGAAUGAUGUAUGGGACUAUUGAAACCUCUCUUUCGCUGACAGAGCAGACUUCUAACAUUCUGGUGGAAAUUAUUCUUUUUUUAAUUUUGCACCAGCGAUCAAGGACCAGAAAUGUAACAGAGGUCAAAGCUGGCUUGGCAUGCUUACCGUGAAUCAAAAGGUUGGAAUCAUGUAUAGCUUUAGUUUACCGCUGUGAUGACAUGACGGACCAAACUAUGUAUGAAAAAGUCAUAUCAACUUUACAGAGGGUCUCACAGAAAAUUGACCAGACUGUUAUGGUUUCUGCAUCAUGCUUAGUUUGUAGGAGAUGUCAUGCGGGUAUUUUUAGCACCAAUGAUUUUGUUAUUAUAAUGUCUGAGGUUAUGAUUCUUUUGAAUGAACCUAUGUAAAGUUCAUUGAUUUCCUCAAAC
Eucalyptus grandis is the source of this 1958-nucleotide long non-coding RNA. RefSeq lists it as uncharacterized. The record is from RefSeq and is a predicted model, not a curated record. NCBI's taxonomy places the organism in Eukaryota, Viridiplantae, Streptophyta, Magnoliopsida, Myrtales, Myrtaceae. The transcript has 3 exons.